UAACGGACAGAACCCGUGAAUCCGGGCGAUAGAAUUCAAAAUUGGUGGCAACGCGAGUUGUCGCUGGUUUGAUAUUUCUGUCGCCGUGUACGGACGUCGCGACCCGUUUGGUGUCGGUCUUAGGAGACGUGUGAAAGUUCGUUGGCACUGUCGACUUGCUCGGCAGCGUUGCGAGUACACGUUUUUUUCUGGCCGACUCGCCAGACGGUACGAAUAGGUGACUGUGAUGGCCUYCAGUGUCGUCACAGUGCCGGUCUGCGACGAAUCUUC
RNAcentral lists this ribosomal RNA (270 nucleotides) under Peliococcus turanicus. RNAcentral describes it as "partial 28S large subunit ribosomal RNA". Lineage: Eukaryota; Metazoa; Arthropoda; Insecta; Hemiptera; Pseudococcidae. The record is from RNAcentral.